UCCAGGGUAGCCUAGUGGACAUGGCACCUGCUCGGUAAGCAGAAGGUUGUGGGUUCGAUUCCCGCCCCUGGAC
This is a non-coding RNA of Cordylochernes scorpioides, 73 nucleotides long. The record is from the annotation of a GenBank genome assembly. Lineage: Eukaryota; Metazoa; Arthropoda; Arachnida; Pseudoscorpiones; Chernetidae.